GACGAACGCUGGCGGCGUGCUUAACACAUGCAAGUCGAACGGAAAGGCCCUGCUUUUGUGGGGUGCUCGAGUGGCGAACGGGUGAGUAACACGUGAGUAACCUGCCCUUGACUUUGGGAUAACUUCAGGAAACUGGGGCUAAUACCGGAUAGGAGCUCCUGCUGCAUGGUGGGGGUUGGAAAGUUUCGGCGGUUGGGGAUGGACUCGCGGCUUAUCAGCUUGUUGGUGGGGUAGUGGCUACCAAGGCUUUGACGGGUAGCCGGCCUGAGAGGGUGACCGGCCACAUUGGGACUGAGAUACGGCCCAGACUCCUACGGGAGGCAGCAUG
RNAcentral lists this ribosomal RNA (328 nucleotides) under uncultured bacterium. RNAcentral's name for it is "bacterial SSU rRNA". It matches the Rfam family "Bacterial small subunit ribosomal RNA", at positions 28 to 355 of the family's 1533-position model. The record is from RNAcentral.